Non-coding RNA from Acanthosepion pharaonis, 101 nucleotides. Lineage: Eukaryota; Metazoa; Mollusca; Cephalopoda; Sepiida; Sepiidae. The record is from the annotation of a GenBank genome assembly.
ACAUCGAAACAUUGGUUUCCUUAAGAUCACCAAAGUAAAGCAACGUCAAGCCUGGUCAGUACCUAGAUGGGUGACCACUUGCGAAUGCCAGGUGCUGCAAU